Molecule: ribosomal RNA, 253 nt
Filed under: uncultured bacterium
Lineage: Bacteria
Description: partial 16S ribosomal RNA
Rfam family: Bacterial small subunit ribosomal RNA
Source: RNAcentral
UACGUAGGUGGCAGGCGUUGUCCGGAUUUACUGGGUGUAAAGGGCGUGCAGCCGGAGAGACAAGUCAAAUGUGAAAUCCACGGGCUCAACCCGUGAACUGCAUUUGAAACUGUUUCCCUUGAGUGUCGGAGAGGUAAUCGGAAUUCCUUGUGUAGCGGUGAAAUGCGUAGAUAUAAGGAAGAACACCAGUGGCGAAGGCGGAUUACUGGACGAUAACUGACGGUGAGGCGCGAAAGCGUGGGGAGCAAACAGG